Molecule: long non-coding RNA, 308 nt
Filed under: Zostera marina
Lineage: Eukaryota; Viridiplantae; Streptophyta; Magnoliopsida; Alismatales; Zosteraceae
Description: long non-coding RNA (ZMAR_LNC002263)
Source: RNAcentral
GUGGCAUUCCGGCGACUGCUUGAACCCAACACGCUGCAAUAGACGAUGGCAUCGGGAAAUAAUAGGACGAAGGUUCUUCAUUUACCUCACAACGAACAAUUGUACAAUCUGGUUCAUCUUCGGAGGACGAGGAAAUUAACGAUACCGACCCAAGAGGACUAAAUGGGUUCAGAUCUAAAGACUUCUUCGACAUAGAUUCUACAUUUUUUAAUUUAUCGAUGACAAGGUCUCCCUCCGGUGUUAUCUUCAAACUAUCAUCAAAGACUUGAUCAUGAGAUGACAUUUGGUAAGGCAGUACUAAACUCAAC